RNAcentral lists this non-coding RNA (27 nucleotides) under Bombyx mori (domestic silkworm). Lineage: Eukaryota; Metazoa; Arthropoda; Insecta; Lepidoptera; Bombycidae. The record is from RNAcentral.
UACUGUGGAAAUAUUAAGUGCCUCGAC